AUGGCCAUGGAGACGUUCUUCACCGCGCUCGUCUUCUGCGAGGCGCCCCUUGACAGCUAUGGCACGUCAGUGUUCACCGCCGGCACGGUCAAGAGGCUGGUUUCUGGCGGAGGUAACGCGACGAAGCCGGCGGUGGCUAACAAGCGGGACGCUGAGAAGGAGCAGGGUUUCUUCUCUGGCAAGCUGUCGGCGCAGUGGCGUGCUGGGUUCGAGCUCGCAUUCGAUGGACUCAAUUGCUUCGACACCGUCGUCAUGCAUUAA
RNAcentral lists this ribosomal RNA (261 nucleotides) under Triticum aestivum (bread wheat). RNAcentral describes it as "partial small subunit ribosomal RNA". Lineage: Eukaryota; Viridiplantae; Streptophyta; Magnoliopsida; Poales; Poaceae. The record is from RNAcentral.